CGCGAAGAACCUUACCAGGGCUUGACAUAUAGCUGGUAGUGAAUCGAAAGAGGAACGACCCUUCGGGGAGGCUAUACAGGUGCUGCAUGGCUGUUGUCAGCUCGUGCCGUGAGGUGUUCGGUUAAGUCCGAUAACGAGCGCAACCCUCAUCGUUAGUUACAAGUGUCUAGCGAGACUGCCGGUGAUAAGCCGGAGGAAGGUGGGGAGGACGUCAAGUCAGCAUGGCCUUUAUGUUGUGGGGUACACACACGCUACAAUGGCCGGUACAAUGGGUAGCCAAGCCGCGAGGUGGAGCCAAUCCUUCAAAACCGGUUUCAGUUUGGAUUGCAGGUUGCAACUCGCCUGCAUGAAGUCGGAGUUGCUAGUAAACGCGCGUCAGCAACAGUGCGUUGAAUACGUUCCCGGGUCUUGUACACACGC
This 420-nucleotide ribosomal RNA is filed under the name uncultured Chloroflexota bacterium. RNAcentral describes it as "bacterial SSU rRNA". It matches the Rfam family "Bacterial small subunit ribosomal RNA", at positions 960 to 1393 of the family's 1533-position model. Lineage: Bacteria; Bacillati; Chloroflexota. The record is from RNAcentral.